AAAAAAAGAAAAAAGAAACAGAAAUCGUUUUUAAUUUUUUGACUCCCAAAGAAUUUUCAGGGAGCCUGAGGUUUGCUGAUCACACUUACAGAACUACUGAUCUGGGCCAAUGUCACUUUUAUUUUUAAACCCAGAACCUUCCCUUUCGCAUGUGAGAGAGCAGAUAUAAUCCUUUUUCAGACAAUUUGCUUUUCUAUGGCUCUUUUCCUGUUUUUGAAACUUACGCCAAAGCCCUUUUGAGCAAUUAAUCUGAGAACCUUCUGCAGCCUGAGUGAGACAAUCUUACAUCCCCCAGCUAGGUCCCGCUCGCAAGCCCUACUAUCGCGAGAGGCCUCGAAUCCAGGUAGGGGUGGGGCUCAACUUCGUAUAUCCCAGGAGCCUUAGCGAAUUUCCAAUUUCCUAACUGCGCAUGUCCCUGCGUAGGCGCGUUAGACAUUCCUUCACUUCCGGACUCUCCAUAAGGUAUAAAUAUGGCUGCUUCGGGCUUGGCCAUCUCUUAGACAAAGGGUAUCUCACGUUUCUUCGUGUUGAAUACUUUGAAGAUUCCAGAUAACUUCUUUAGGCAGGUAAGUAAAUCAGCACUGAAUUGUUUUUGGAUUAACAGUAUUUGUCAGAUUAUCCUUGUUCUAAUUUGUGAAGGUCUACCUCUGAGACAUUUAAUCACUGAGCACAGAGCACUGAUUGUCUAUCCAUAUAUGAACUUGGCUCUGUUUUUGCAGGGGCAUUGGUAUAAGUGUAUACCAAUGCCUUGUAAAAAUUGGUUUUUUAGUCAUCAAUAAAACAAUGUUGCUGAGGAUAUAGCUUGUGGGACAGCGCCUGCCUAGAAAGUGCAAGGUCCUGAGUUUGAUUCCCCCCGCCCCCCCAAAAAAAGAAAAAGUGUACUAAAAUACUCACAUUUUACAUGCUCAUGUGGUUGAGGGGAGAAUUAGUUAAAUGAAAAUGUGCUGAGAAUAUAGCUCAGUGGGUAGAGCACUCCAGGUUCCAUCUCCAGCAUUAGAAAAAAUGGAAUAAAAACAAGAGAAAGCCCAGAAGAGGUGUGUUAUGGUUGAUACAUUGUGUCAACUUGGGGAAUCUAGAGGUUUGGCUAAGAGACUCAGCAGUUUGCCUCUUGGGGUGAAAAGGACAUGCCCUUACCCUUCUGGGA
Molecule: long non-coding RNA, 1144 nt
Filed under: Chinchilla lanigera (long-tailed chinchilla)
Lineage: Eukaryota; Metazoa; Chordata; Mammalia; Rodentia; Chinchillidae
Description: lncRNA (ENSCLAG00000023477.1)
Source: RNAcentral